This 265-nucleotide ribosomal RNA is filed under the name uncultured prokaryote. RNAcentral's name for it is "partial 16S ribosomal RNA". It matches the Rfam family "Bacterial small subunit ribosomal RNA", at positions 524 to 788 of the family's 1533-position model. The record is from RNAcentral.
UUCAGAGGUCUCGAGCGUUGUUCGGAUUUACUGGGCGUAAAGGGAGCGUAGGCGGCCGGGUGUGUCGAAUGUGAAAACCCACAACUCAACUGUGGAAUGGCAUUCGAAACUACCUGGCUAGAGUACUGGAGAGGAGAGCGGAAUUCUUGGUGUAGCGGUGAAAUGCGUAGAUAUCAAGAGGAACACCGGUGGCGAAGGCGGCUCUCUGGACAGAUACUGACGCUGAGGCUCUAAAGUUAGGGGAGCAAACAGGAUUAGAUACCCU